This 465-nucleotide ribosomal RNA is filed under the name uncultured bacterium. RNAcentral describes it as "partial 16S ribosomal RNA". It matches the Rfam family "Bacterial small subunit ribosomal RNA", at positions 28 to 507 of the family's 1533-position model. The record is from RNAcentral.
GACGAACGCUGGCGGCGUGCUUAACACAUGCAAGUCGAACGGAAAGGCCCCUUUGGGGGUACUCGAGUGGCGAACGGGUGCGUAACACGUGAGUAACCUGCCCUUGACUUCGGGAUAACUUCAGGAAACUGGGGCUAAUACCGGAUAGGAAUCCUUGCUGCAUGGUGGGGGUUGGAAAGCUUCGGCGGUUUUGGAUGGACUCGCGGCUUAUCAGCUUGUUGGUGGGGUAGUGGCUUACCAAGGCUUUGACGGGUAGCCGGCCUGUGAGGGCGACCGGCCACAUUGGGACUGAGAUACGGCCCAGACUCCUACGGGAGGCAGCAGUGGGGAAUAUUGCACAAUGGGCGGAAGCCUGAUGCAGCAACGCCGCGUGCGGGAUGACGGCCUUCGGGUUGUAAACCGCUUUCAGCAGGGGCGAAGCUUGUGGUGACGGUACCUGCAGAAGAAGCACCGGCUAACUACGUG